UAGGGAAUCUUCGGCAAUGGGGGGAACCCUGACCGAGCAACGCCGCGUGAGUGAAGAAGGUUUUCGGAUCGUAAAGCUCUGUUGUUAAGGAAGAACGAGUGUGAGAAUGGAAAGUUCAUGCUGUGACGGUACUUAACCAGAAAGGGACGGCUAACUACGUGCCAGCAGCCGCGGUAAUACGUAGGUCCCGAGCGUUGUCCGGAUUUAUUGGGCGUAAAGCGAGCGCAGGCGGUUAGAAAAGUCUGAAGUGAAAGGCAGUGGCUCAACCAUUGUAGGCUUUGGAAACUGUUUAACUUGAGUGCAGAAGGGGAGGGUGGAAUUCCAGGUGUAGCGGUGAAAUGCGUAGAUAUAUGGAGGAACGCCGGUGGCGAAAGCGGCUCGCUGGUCUGUAACUGACGCUGGGGCUCGAAAGCGUGGGGAGCGAACAGG
RNAcentral lists this ribosomal RNA (429 nucleotides) under Bacteroidota bacterium. RNAcentral describes it as "Bacteroidetes bacterium partial 16S ribosomal RNA". It matches the Rfam family "Bacterial small subunit ribosomal RNA", at positions 355 to 776 of the family's 1533-position model. The record is from RNAcentral. Lineage: Bacteria; Pseudomonadati; Bacteroidota.